GUCAACUACCCACCACUUAAAGCCUAACGACUUUUGAAGUGGGGGCUUGUAAAAAGCCCUAGUUGACUACCCCAAGUCUUUCGAGGACUACGUUGGAAGGGUCAUGACACCUACGAAUGCUCCUCUAGUUCGUAGCCACUGUCGUUGAUGGUUAAAAGUCCUGAUGGGUAGGGACGGUGCUGUCAACAUCACAAGCCCUUCCAACAUGGGGGAAGAGGAAGAAC
Non-coding RNA from Anoxybacillus sp. BCO1, 224 nucleotides. Lineage: Bacteria; Bacillati; Bacillota; Bacilli; Caryophanales; Anoxybacillaceae. The record is from Rfam.